GUUUAUCACCACGCUGCUUUAUCUCGGUCGCUCACACACACGGACCCGCACGCCAUCACCUUCGCCUCUGCGCCUCUUGUGCAUGACUGUGAAUCUUAGGGAGGAGGGCGUGCACCCAAGGACACAGGAGCAUUUUAUUUUUCUUGAGAUCAGCAAGCAGCGGGGGGAGGGCACUAGCAGCGGCCAUACGCCGAGCCUGCACUUUUUCGGCUUGCUCCAUCUGCUCCCCCGCUGCUUUGGCCGACUUUUCGAUGGGGGCCGUCUCUCUCUCUCUCUCGAAUUCUUCGUUUACUUCCAGGCUGUCUGAGGUGUUUUUUUUUUCGUGCGACGUGAGACGAAAUUGAAUCACCCACACACACACGCAGCGUGGCUCGCGCGCGUGCUUUAGUUCUUCUGUAUCUUCCGCUUGGCCUCUGUGCUACGCCGCUUUCCCUCGAGUCCUUCCAUCCACCCCCUUUACGGUCGGCCUCGACUUGCCUCGCAGCUCCCUAAGUGUUUUGUGGGAAGGACUCGCAUUUCACGCCUUGAAGAUGAGCCAAUUUGUGUUCAACGGCAGCAGUCGCAUGCGCAACAUGAAGCUGGCGCGCGACCAUCACAAGACGCGGAACAGCAUCAUCGAAGAUGCACAACGACUGCGACUUCAGAGAGAGGAGGAGGCGCGCCGCAUGCGCGCCGUCCGGCGGCUGCAACGUGCCAUUCGCCAGUGGCUUGCUUGUCAGGCGAUGGUGCGUUUGGCGUUGAGUGACCUGGAUAGCUUGUCAUCGGACGUGAAGCGAAUUCUACUGUCGACGUCUUCUGCGGGCUUCUCUUCCGCUGUUCACACGACUGCCGUCCCGAGCCAGACAGAGCAGCUCACGGCACGCCUACACACGGCGUGCUGGUGCCUCUCGUAUGUGCGCCGCCACCAGUCACAUAUUCCGCUGCGCCUCGACGCGCCUUUCCGAGCUGCAGCAAAGAACGACUGCAGCACAGAAACGGUAUUAGGUGAUGCGGGUUCAGGCAUACCUGGGACGACUGGCCUAGGCGCUACUGCCGCGGCUCACCAGCGUGUCACUCUUUCCUCUCCUCAUACCUCCUCGGUGUCGUCCCUCGGAGAGCUGCGCGCGUACCGGCAGCGGGUCUUCUGGCACUACAGCGAAUGCCUUUACACAGCUCUCAGCGAAAGCAUCAACCGCAGCGCGGAGGGUGAGGACACGGCUGAUGAGGACACCAUCGCAUUUCAUGCCGAUGCCGCCACUGAGGCAGCCGCAGUCAAUCGGCCAGCCGAUCCGCUGUCGCUGUCGUGGCCUUCUUUUCUCGCUUCUUUGCCCACCAAAGAUGUGGUCCUUCUCCUCUGCGUGCUGUUGCAGCAACUCUCGCGUGUGGCGCCGUCGAUGCCGGGCAGCCACGCAUCGCCAUCCAGCAGCGCAUCUUUGGUAAAGCGACUGGCAAGGUAUCUUGUGGCUGUCAUCGUCACACACAACGCUGCGUUUGCACGUACACUCAACGAGGAGCCGACACCUCGCAGAAGCCACGAAGGUCUUGAGAUGUCAGCGACGGCGGUGACUUUACCGUCAUUGGCUGCAGCGGCGUCUUUUGAUCGGUGGCCGGCGGUACAUGCCUUGACCGUGACACUCAGUUUUCUAGGCCAGGAGACGGUGGCGCAUCCGGUGAGCGUGCGCUCGCAGUGCAGGGAGCUACUGCAGCCACUUGUCGCGGCGUUCCCGCCCCUUUCUCAGGCUGAAGCCGGCGGGUACAGCCCACUGUCGCCGCCUACGGGCUCCUUUGCGCAGGUGUGCUGGCAAUGUAUGUGCGCUCCCUACACCGAAGAGGAGUCCCAGCGACUCACCUCCAACUCUCUGGCGGUGCUGCUCGGCGCUGCUGAUACAGCCGCGGAGGGGCCCGCGCGUGGCGGCUGCGACGUGGUGGAUACGUGCUUUACGAUGCUUGUUGCGGAGUGCUACAGACGGACUGCCAUGAACACGGAGCUGACGGCGUGCGAUGGCGUAAGUGGGCUACGAGGUGGGGAGCUGCGUGCUCGUGUACUUGGGCGCCUUGUGCGGUUGCUGCCGCGUAUCCACCAGCUCGUGGAGGCAACAUCGUGCGCUGCCUCUGUGUCGCCGUCGCCCUUAGCUGCCUGCACGGAUGUGGUGAAGUGGUACUUGCUCAGCGUCAGCUGCCUGAGCGAGCGACUGUGCCGCGAGGAUUUCUUUAUUGAGGGCAUUCUGGCAGAUCACUACGCCUACAACACCGGCCGGCGGCAGCAGCGCCGCACGGUGGAUGGGAAGGACGAUGCCGAGGGUGUCGAUGAAUCGUCGCACAGUCAAUACCGCCUGCUUACCUCGUACCUGUUCAGCGCCGAGGGUGGCCUGCAACUGCUACAACUCCUCACCGUGCAGGAUGAGCGGUGUGAGAAACUGCGCCUGAUGUCGCUGCAGAAGCCUACCGUGGAGGCACCCACCGAUACCGGCGCGCCGCCAACGGUGGACGACGGCGGCAACGAGGAGGGCGACUUGGCAGCAGCUGCAUCGCUGGCGAAUACGACGUCCUUCAUGGAUGCUGGCGCUGCCGCUCAGUGGCCGUCGUCUGCCUCGAUGCAGCAGAGCCCACUCGAGAUUCUGUGCAACGUGUUUGCGUGGCCCAUCUUCACAUUCUCGAAGCCGAGAUACAGCCGCUAUCAACAGGAGACGUUGGCGCUGUACGCAAAGCUGGUGCGCACUCCGCAGCUGCUGCGUCGCCUUUGGAGUUUGUACUGGCAGAGCUGCGAGGGGCUGCGGGCUGUGCUGCCGCCCGGCGAGGCUUUGCAGAGGCUGUGCCAGCCACCGGCGUGGGGUGCACAGGAGCAGGAGGAGCAGCCGGCCCUCGCCGGCGAGGAGCGGUCUAGACGCCGCCGCGUGCCCGCGGCUGCCCACCCCGGGCCCGCCCUCAUUUCCCUCCCGCGGCUGCCAACGUGGGAGACACAUCCGCGUUACCCUCUCGCUUUCUAUGACCCUCACGCGUCGCUCUCCAUCUUUUUCUUCACCCUGCUGGCAUACUAUGUGAACGUGUGCGACUUCGCCGAUGAGCUGCGUCGCGGUGGCGAGGCGGCGGUGCUGUCUACAGAGGAGUCGUGGGCGUUGGUGCUCGCGCUGAAGGAGAUUGUGCACCGGUCACACAUGUACGGCGUCGUACCGGACUCCAACGGCGAGGCUGUUGCUCACGCGGCCUGCCUGCUGCUCUCCCGCCUACACACGGUGGACGAGGCGGACCCGUUUGUGCCUGCCGCGGCGACCGGUCUGUGGAUGUCCGUCAGCGCCGUCGCUGCCGAGGCAGCAGUGGGUUUGUUGUUUCGCACUUGGGAUGCGGCGAGCGCCGCCGUGGUGGAUGAGGAGGAUGCCGCAGAGGCAGGGGAGGCAGAGCUUGACGGCGCCAGCGUCGCAACCGGAGAGCGAAGCGUUGUGGGCGGCGUAAUGUCGAGCACCACCGCCGGUGUCGCGACCACGUCGGUGGCCCACGUGCGUCUUCCCGGCGACGACGUCGCCUUUCACGGCAGCGCGCAGUGGAAACAGGCGACUCGGUACGCAAAGAUGCUCGUGCACACACCGUUCCUGUUCCCUUUUGCCGCUCGCGCACUGCUCCUCUCGGCGCUGCUCGUGGAGACGGACCACCACUGGACGCCGCCGAGCGAGCGGCGGGUGGUGGUGCAGCGCGGACGCACUUUCAUAGACGCCUUUGACCUUUUCCACGACAAGCCGCUCAGCAACGACAUGCUCAACAUCCGCUUCAUCGCCGACGACGGCACGCUCGAGGCCGGGUACGGCCGCGGUGUGUACCGAGAGUGUAUCGUGUCACUGUGCAAGGAGGGGUUUGCGGCUGAAUACGGCCUGUUUCGCCAGACCCCAGACGGCUAUGUGUACCCGAACUCCUUCAGCGCCGUGGCGACCAGUGACCCGCAGCAUCUUUUGAAGAUCCGCUUCUUGGGGGCAAUGGUGGGUCGCGCGCUGCGCGACGGUGUGUUGCAAGACGUGCCGUUCGCCCUUCACUUUCGCAACUCCAUCUUGGGCCGCCGCAACACCCUCAGCAACCUCAAGAGCUUCGACGCGGAGCUCUAUCACCAGCUUAUGUCCCUCACGCAGCUUAGCGAGGAAGAGCUGGAGGCGGUUGGACUGACCUUUGUCUACACAGUGAACGCGCUGGGCAUCACAAGGGAGGUAGAGCUGGUGCCUGACGGGGCGAAGAUGCACGUGACGCCGCGCAACUGCCUCUUUUACGUGCACCUCGUCGCCGACUUUAAGCUCAACCGCGAGGCCGCCGAGCAGACGCGCGCGUUUUGCACCGGGCUUCACUCUGUAAUUGACACGAACCGUCUUCGCUUGUUCGACAGUAACGAGGUCGGCAAGCUCUUCGGCGGCGAUGAGACGGGGCAGAUCGACUUGGAGGACUGGAAGGCGAAUACAGUGUACGACAAGCCGGAGGACGUGAACGCACCGCAGGUGCGGCUCUUCUGGGACGUUGUGGAGUCUCUCACGCGCGCGCAGCAGCGACAGCUGCUGAAGUUUGUGACGUCCAUGACUCGGCCGCCGCUGCUCGGCUUCCGUUUCCUGGCGCCUCCCUUUAAGGUUCAGCUGCUGGCGAUGAAUGCGUCCGGGCCCGAUCAUCUGCCCUCGGCGGCAACGUGCUUCUCUACCUUAAAGCUACCACCGUACCGUGACUACGCGACGGCUCGAGCGAAGAUUGUUGCUGCCAUUGAAGAAACCGGUACCUUCGAGUUCAGCUGAGCAGCGAGGCGCUAUAGCGCGCCUCGGUGGGCCUCGUGCCGCAGCACGCACGAAAAGAGGUAUCGCGAGGGCGCCGCGGAUCGGGGUGGGAUGCUGGGGGUCUUGGCAGGUCGAUGGAGUCAAUGCGACCGGUAAAAGCCGCUAUUACCCCUCCCAUGCACGCAUCUUCUCCCCCUCUUCUCUCUCAGAAUGUGUGUGUGUGUGUGCGUGGCUGUCUGUCCAGGUCCGGUGUUGUUUGAAGCGCUUAUUUGCCACCUUAUGUAUGCGUCUGUGUGUGCCCGCGCGUUCUCUGUCUCUGCGUAUGUGCGCGCAUUCUUGUGCUCGUGCCUCGAUGCACAUUACCACUGAUCCGACAAACGAUUUGAAGUACCGAUAAGGGCAUCGAGAAAUGGAAGGCCUGGGAGAGGGUGCAGGCAGUCCACGCGCAGUCCCAGCGGCGUAUAGGACGAACGAGGGCAAAACACCGUCUGUGGCAUUGGGCCAGGCCCUCUCUCUCUUUCCCACCCCUCCUUUCCUCAUCCCCUGCCACCAGUGAAUGUGUGGGUGAAGGCGAUCUCUCCCGCCGAGUCG
Molecule: unclassified non-coding RNA, 5306 nt
Filed under: Leishmania donovani
Lineage: Eukaryota; Euglenozoa; Kinetoplastea; Trypanosomatida; Trypanosomatidae
Description: gene:LdHU3.30.1280(CDS-product:ubiquitin-protein_ ligase_putative)
Source: RNAcentral